RNAcentral lists this transfer RNA (74 nucleotides) under Niastella populi. RNAcentral describes it as "tRNA-Arg". It matches the Rfam family "tRNA". Rfam says of the family: Transfer RNA (tRNA) molecules are approximately 80 nucleotides in length. Their secondary structure includes four short double-helical elements and three loops (D, anti-codon, and T loops). Further hydrogen bonds mediate the characteristic L-shaped molecular structure. tRNAs have two regions of fundamental functional importance: the anti-codon, which is responsible for specific mRNA codon recognition, and the 3' end, to which the tRNAs corresponding amino acid is attached (by aminoacyl-tRNA synthetases). tRNAs cope with the degeneracy of the genetic code in two manners: having more than one tRNA (with a specific anti-codon) for a particular amino acid; and 'wobble' base-pairing, i.e. permitting non-standard base-pairing at the 3rd anti-codon position. Lineage: Bacteria; Pseudomonadati; Bacteroidota; Chitinophagia; Chitinophagales; Chitinophagaceae. The record is from RNAcentral.
UGGCUUAUAGUUCAAUGGAAGAAUACUGUGCUACGAACGCAGAGAUGGAAGUUCGAAUCUUUCUGAGCCGGCAA